GACGAACGCUGGCGGCGUGCUUAACACAUGCAAGUCGAACGGAAAGGCCCUGCUUUUGUGGGGUGCUCGAGUGGCGAACGGGUGAGUAACACGUGAGUAACCUGCCCUUGACUUUGGGAUAACUUCAGGAAACUGGGGCUAAUACCGGAUAGGAGCUCCUGCUGCAUGGUGGGGGUUGGAAAGUUUCGGCGGUUGGGGAUGGACUCGCGGCUUAUCAGCUUGUUGGUGGGGUAGUGGCUUACCAAGGCUUUGACGGGUAGUCGGCCUGAGAGGGUGACCGGCCACAUUGGGACUGAGAUACGGCGCAGACUCCUACGGGAGGCAGCAGUGGGGAAUAUUGCACAAUGGGCGGAAGCCUGAUGCAGCAACGCCGCGUGCGGGAUGACGGCCUUCGGGCUGUAAACCGCUUUCGCCUGUGACGAAGCGUGAGUGACGGUAAUGGGUAAAGAAGCACCGGCUAACUACGUG
RNAcentral lists this ribosomal RNA (468 nucleotides) under uncultured bacterium. RNAcentral describes it as "partial 16S ribosomal RNA". It matches the Rfam family "Bacterial small subunit ribosomal RNA", at positions 28 to 507 of the family's 1533-position model. The record is from RNAcentral.